Molecule: transfer RNA, 73 nt
Filed under: Sarcina sp. DSM 11001
Lineage: Bacteria; Bacillati; Bacillota; Clostridia; Eubacteriales; Clostridiaceae
Rfam family: tRNA
About the family: Transfer RNA (tRNA) molecules are approximately 80 nucleotides in length.
Source: Rfam by way of RNAcentral
GGGUCACUCGUAUAAUGGUCAUUAUAGCGGACUCUUAAUCCGUCAGAUCAGGGUUCGAAUCCCUGGUGGCCCA